This 114-nucleotide ribosomal RNA is filed under the name Zingiber officinale. Lineage: Eukaryota; Viridiplantae; Streptophyta; Magnoliopsida; Zingiberales; Zingiberaceae. The record is from RNAcentral.
GCGAUCAUACCAGCACUAAUGCACCGGAUCCCAUCAGAACUCCGAAGUUAAGCUUGCUUUGGCGAGAGCAGUACUAGGAUGGGUGACCCCCUGGGAAGUUCUCGUGUUGCACCU